RNAcentral lists this ribosomal RNA (407 nucleotides) under uncultured bacterium. Its description in RNAcentral is "partial 16S ribosomal RNA". It matches the Rfam family "Bacterial small subunit ribosomal RNA", at positions 30 to 526 of the family's 1533-position model. The record is from RNAcentral.
AUUGAACGCUGGCGGCAGGCCUAACACAUGCAAGUCGAGCGGUGCGGCGGGCGGGUGAGUAAGGCCUAGUACUCUUCCUGGUAGUGUGGGAUCACGCCCGCAAACGGGUGCUAACACCGCAUAUUAUCAGACUAGUCUAGGCCGGAUUAACUAGGUGGUGGGGUAAAGGCCUACCAAGGCGACGAUCCGUAACUGGUCUUAGAGGAUAAUCAGUCAAACUGGGACUGAGACACGGUCCAGACUCGUACGGGAGGCAGCAGUGGGGAAUAUUGGACAAUGGGCGAAAGCCUGAUCCAGCCAUGCCGCGUGUGUGAAGAAGGUCUUCGGGUUGUAAAGCACUUUAAGUGGGGAGGCGUUACCAACAGAAUAAGCACCGGCUAACUUCGUGCCAGCAGCCGCGGUAAUAC